RNAcentral lists this ribosomal RNA (254 nucleotides) under uncultured bacterium. Its description in RNAcentral is "partial 16S ribosomal RNA". It matches the Rfam family "Bacterial small subunit ribosomal RNA", at positions 524 to 776 of the family's 1533-position model. The record is from RNAcentral.
GACGAACCGUGCGAACGUUAUUCGGAAUCACUAGGGCUUAAAGGGCGCGUAGGCGGGUCGGCAAGUCAGGGGUGAAAGCCCGCAGCUCAACUGCGGAAGAGCCUUUGAGACUGCCGGUCUAGAGGGAGGUAGGGGAGUGCGGAACUUCGGGUGGAGCGGUGAAAUGCGUAGAUAUCCGAAGGAACACCGGUGGCGAAAGCGGCGCUCUGGACCUCUUCUGACGCUGAGGCGCGAAAGCCAGGGGAGCAAACGGG